GAUCCUCGCUCAGGAUGAACGCUAGCUACAGGCUUAACACAUGCAAGUCGAGGGGCAGCAUGGUCUUAGCUUGCUAAGGCCGAUGGCGACCGGCGCACGGGUGAGUAACGCGUAUCCAACCUGCCUUACACUCUUGGACAGCCUUCUGAAAGGGAGAUUAAUACAAGAUGUUAUCAUGAGUAAGCAUUUUCGCAUGAUUAAAGGUUUACCGGUGUAAGAUGGGGAUUCGUCC
Molecule: ribosomal RNA, 232 nt
Filed under: uncultured bacterium
Lineage: Bacteria
Description: partial 16S ribosomal RNA
Rfam family: Bacterial small subunit ribosomal RNA
Source: RNAcentral